UCAGGACGAACGCUGGCGGCAUGCCUAACACAUGCAAGUCGAACGGACGAGGGUAGCAAUACCCGAGUUAGUGGCGAACGGGUGAGUAACACGUGAGCAACCUGCCCUUUACACUGGGAUAGCAGUUGGAAACGACUGAUAAUACCGGAUAAGACCACAUUCCCGCAUGGGAGAGGGGUCAAAGUGCUUUAGCGGUAAAGGAUGGGCUCGCGUCCAAUUAGCUAGUUGGUGAGGUAACGGCCCACCAAGGCGACGAUUGGUAGCCGACUUGAGAGAGUGAUCGGCCACACUGGAACUGAGACACGGUCCAGACUCCUACGGGAGGCAGCAGUGGGGAAUAUUGGGCAAUGGAGGAAACUCUUACCCAAGCAAUGCCGCGUGAGGGAUGGAGGUCCUAUGGAUUGUAAACCUCUUUGAUUAGGGACAAAGAAAGUGAUGGUACCUAAAGAACAAGCCCCGGCUAACUAUGUGCCAGCAGCGGC
RNAcentral lists this ribosomal RNA (482 nucleotides) under uncultured bacterium. RNAcentral describes it as "bacterial SSU rRNA". It matches the Rfam family "Bacterial small subunit ribosomal RNA", at positions 24 to 518 of the family's 1533-position model. The record is from RNAcentral.